Molecule: RNA transcript, 1030 nt
Organism: Piliocolobus tephrosceles (Ugandan red Colobus)
Lineage: Eukaryota; Metazoa; Chordata; Mammalia; Primates; Cercopithecidae
Gene name: ribosome biogenesis protein NSA2 homolog pseudogene
Exons: 1
Source: RefSeq, a predicted model, not a curated record
GCCUUUCCUGUCCCGGCCUGCGUGGUGUGGGCUUGUGGGUCUUUGAGACCUGAAAAUUGAGAGCGUUUUCGCACCCCAGGGGCUGCUUCUGGCGGUUCUGCGGCCAUCACCAUGCCACAGACCAAACAUAUUGAAUUACACCAUAAAAGCUAUGGAUACCAUUUGGAUUACCAUGAGAAAAAGAGAAAGAAGGAAAGUCGAGAGGCUCAUGAAUGUUCAAAGAAGGCAAAGAAAAUGACUGGUCUGAAGGCUAAGCUUUACCAUAAACAGUACCAUGCUGAAAAAAUACAAAUGAAAAAGACUAUCAAGAUGCAUGAAAAGAGAAACACCAAACAAAAGAAUGAUGAAAAGACUCCACAGGGAGCAGUACCUGCCUAUCUGCUGGACAGAGAGGGACAAUCUCGAGCUAAAGUACUUUCCAGUAUGAUUAAACAGAAACGAAAAGAGAAGGCGGGAAAUUGGGAAGUCCCUCUGCCUAAAGUACGUGCCCAGGGAAAAACAGAAGUAUUAAAAGUUAUUCGAACAGGAAAGAGAAAGAAGAAAGCAUGGAAGAGGAUGGUUACUAAAGUGUGCUUUGUUGGAGAUGGCUUUACAAGAAAACCACCUAAAUAUGAAAGAUUUAUCAGGCCAAUGGGCUUGCAUUUCAAGAAAGCCCAUGUAACACAUCCUGAACUGAAAGCCACCUUUUGCCUACCAAUAUUUGGUGUAAAGAAGAAUCCCUCAUCCCCACUGUAUACAACUUUGGGUGUUAUUACCAAAGGUACUGUCACCGAGGUAAAUGUGAGCAAAUUGGGCCUUGUGACACAAGGAGGCAAAGUUAUUUGGGAAAAAUAUGCCCAGGUUACCAACAAUCCUGAAAAUGAUGGAUGUAUAAAUGCAGUCUUACUGGUUUGACAGCAAUUUCAUAUAUAAUUAUCCAGGACUACACACCAACUGAAAAAACUGCCAUUACUGUGAUGUUUCUGAAUACUACCAAACAGCCAUACAUGUCUGCAAUGAAGAGAUUUAUUAAAUUGUAAACAUUAAAAUG